ACUAUCUUAGUAUAAACAAGUAUAGUUAGCUUCCAACUAAAAGGUUAAACCAACUUAAGAGAGUA
This 65-nucleotide transfer RNA is filed under the name Achilidae gen. 1 sp. n. 1 SX-2018. Its description in RNAcentral is "tRNA-Gly". Lineage: Eukaryota; Metazoa; Arthropoda; Insecta; Hemiptera; Achilidae. The record is from RNAcentral.